ACCAUAGUAUAUUACCGAACCAAUGUCAAUUAAUCUAUUUUCCUGCUAAUUAUUGUAAUUUUUUUUCUAUAACUAGAAAGUUUUUGUCACUAGCUAGUAGCUACUAUUAUUUCUCUUUUGGAAAUUUCCCUUUACUAUCAUGAAAGGCUAAACGAGAAAUAACAAAAAUAUAAUGAAAGUUUAAUAAAUAAAUAAGAAUGAACUUUGAUGAGAUUAUUAAGUGAUCAAUUGGAUGAGCUAAAGAGGUAAACAAGACACAUUGGUGUAGCUUAUAAACAUUUAACAAUAAUUCAAAUUUUAUCAAUGGUUUAUUUCAACUCUCAAAAAUUAUUUGAUUGAAGUAAAUAAAUCAUGGAAUUUUUACUAUAAAUUGAUGACACAAUUUUCUAUUUAUUACAUGCAAAGAAGAAAAAAAAAUAUGGAUUUGAUUACCAAGUUCAUUUAUGCUUUGAUUAUUUUUAUUUCUCUAUUUCUUGUCGUAACCAACAGCGCUGAAUUUCCUUUGAUUGAUUCCCCAUCAAAAUUUCUCUGCAUUCAUGGAACUGAUUGUCCAUGGGAUUUGUGUAUCCAUCUUGCUCGAACUCCAAGUUGCAUCGAUUUUAUUUGUGAGUGCUAAUAUGGAUUUGGGCUUAACAAUUGUAAAAUAAAGCGUAUAGUUUUAUUUGUAUGUUAAGUUAAAAAAAUAUAUAUUUGCUUUUAAACAUAUAAAUUUAUUUGUACGUUAAGUAAAAUAAUAAAUAUAUUUGCUUUUAAGCAUAUGAUUUUAUUUGUACAUCAUAAUAUUACUAUUUUAUUUAAUUUUUCUUUGAUGACAAUUUGUGCCAAGUUGUACCUAGUAAUAAGUGAUAAAUAAGAUCCUCAUGAGCUUAGUCGGUUUGUAAGAAUAUCGCA
Molecule: long non-coding RNA, 891 nt
Organism: Trifolium pratense (red clover)
Lineage: Eukaryota; Viridiplantae; Streptophyta; Magnoliopsida; Fabales; Fabaceae
Exons: 2
Source: RefSeq, a predicted model, not a curated record